Molecule: ribosomal RNA, 450 nt
Filed under: uncultured bacterium
Lineage: Bacteria
Description: partial 16S ribosomal RNA
Rfam family: Bacterial small subunit ribosomal RNA
Source: RNAcentral
GUGGGGAAUAUUGGACAAUGGGCGAAAGCCUGAUCCAGCCAUGCCGCGUGUGUGAAGAAGGUCUUCGGAUUGUAAAGCACUUUAAGUUGGGAGGAAGGGCAGUAAGUUAAUACCUUGCUGUUUUGACGUUACCGACAGAAUAAGCACCGGCUAACUACGUGCCAGCAGCCGCGGUAAUACGUAGGGUGCAAGCGUUAAUCGGAAUUACUGGGCGUAAAGCGCGCGUAGGUGGUUUUGUAAGUUGGAAGUGAAAUCCCCGGGCUCAACCUGUGAACUGCCUCCAAAACUGCAUGACUAGAGUACGGUAGAGGGUAGUGUAAUUUCCUGUGUAGCGGUGAAAUGCGUAGAUAUAGGAAGGAACACCAGUGGCGAAGGCGACUACCUGGACUGAUACUGAGACUGAGGUGCGAAAGCGUGGGGAGCAAACAGGAUUAGAUACCCCGGUAGUCC